Molecule: ribosomal RNA, 933 nt
Filed under: uncultured bacterium
Lineage: Bacteria
Description: bacterial SSU rRNA
Rfam family: Bacterial small subunit ribosomal RNA
Source: RNAcentral
AGAGUUUGAUCAUGGCUCAGGACGGACGCUGGCGGCGUGCCUAAUACAUGCAAGUCGAGCGGACGAACUUUUGGUGCUUGCACCGAAUUUUCGUUAGCGGCGGACGGGUGAGUAACACGUGGGCAACCUACCCUGUAGAUUGGGAUAACUCCGGGAAACCGGGGCUAAUACCGAGUAAUACUUUUUGACUCAUGUCAGAAAGUUGAAAGAUGGUUUACGCUAUCACUACAGGAUGGGCCCGCGGCGCAUUAGCUAGUUGGUGAGGUAACGGCUCACCAAGGCAACGAUGCGUAGCCGACCUGAGAGGGUGAUCGGCCACACUGGGACUGAGACACGGCCCAGACUCCUACGGGAGGCAGCAGUAGGGAAUCUUCCACAAUGGGCGAAAGCCUGAUGGAGCAACGCCGCGUGAGUGAAGAAGGAUUUCGGUUCGUAAAUCUCUGUUGUAAGGGAAGAACAAGUAGCGUAGUAACUGGCGCUACCUUGACGGUACCUUAUUAGAAAGCCACGGCUAACUACGUGCCAGCAGCCGCGGUAAUACGUAGGUGGCAAGCGUUGUCCGGAAUUAUUGGGCGUAAAGCGCGCGCAGGUGGUCCUUUAAGUCUGAUGUGAAAGCCCACGGCUCAACCGUGGAGGGUCAUUGGAAACUGGGGGACUUGAGUGCAGAAGAGGAUAGUGGAAUUCCAAGUGUAGCGGUGAAAUGCGUAGAGAUUUGGAGGAACACCAGUGGCGAAGGCGACUAUCUGGUCUGUAACUGACACUGAGGCGCGAAAGCGUGGGGAGCAAACAGGAUUAGAUACCCUGAUAGUCCACGCCGUAAACGAUGAGUGCUAAGUGUUAGGGGGUUUCCGCCCCUUAGUGCUGCAGCUAACGCAUUAAGCACUCCGCCUGGGGGAGUACGGUCGCAAGACUGAAACUCAAAUGAAUUGACGG